Molecule: long non-coding RNA, 201 nt
Filed under: Elaeis guineensis (African oil palm)
Lineage: Eukaryota; Viridiplantae; Streptophyta; Magnoliopsida; Arecales; Arecaceae
Description: long non-coding RNA (EGUI_LNC078049)
Source: RNAcentral
GGUCUAUAUAUAUCAAUAUGUAUCAGACCUAGAACUUCACUGGCUCACUCAUCUUUUUCAGUAAAAGGUGACUUGAUAAUUUUUUUAAGAAGACAGGACUCAUCGGUUGGAAGUGAUUCACAAUCACUGACUUCGAAGAUUUUCUCUUAUAUCAAUCUAUUUAUUCUGUUCUUAUUAAUAUGACCUAACCUAUAGUGCCAA